UGUUGGGAGUUGUAGUCUGUCGGCGUGCCCCGUCCCAUCUCCUGAGCGAAGACCGCAAUGAAACAAAGCCCAGCCCAGGUUGGAGACCUGAAACAAUAGCCAGAACUUGAAAGUCAAGGGGAAGAGAUGCUGCUAGACCUGCUGAGCUUUUCCAGACUACACCCAGCGUUCUGAGGGUGAUAAGCCGAGGACACUGUGGAGGCAUGGGUAGUGAUGUUCCAGUAAUCACUGAAGUCACAGAGGAAUCCGGAGGACUGAAAAUGGCCAAUUGUUCUUCUAACAAAAUCAAAGUACUGGAGAUGCAAAAAUUUGAAACACAAACAAGGUGCUGGAGAAACUCAGCAGGAGUGGCACAUCUGUGGAGAGAGAAACAGAGUUAAACAUCUUCAUUCUAAUAUGACUUCUUCAGAAAGGAUAAUAUUCAAAUUCUGUAUCACCAAGCGACUGUUUAGAUACAAAAUGAUAAUUUCACAAAAUCAGUUGGCUACUGAAGGUUUCAACUGUCAGCCAACUACUCAUCCCUAGUACAACUAGGUAGGCAAAUAACCAAAUUGGGACUUCUGAAAUUUAACUUUUACGCCAAUGGAAAAAAUCAUGAAAAUGAAAUUAUUGUAAUAUAUUCCUUGUCACAAAUCAAAAGAAGCAUUGCUGAGUGAAAGGAUGCUCCACGGUUUUAAAAAAAAAACUCUGCUAUAAUUCUGAAAUGUUUGGUUUUUAAGGUUGCAUGCAAUUAUUGAUUGCUUGAUGCUUGUAUGAAUUGUUUAAAUUGUUCAGUAGUCAUUCUAUGAUUAGCAAACCUACAAUGCAAGUUUCACUUUUAAACUAACUACAAUCCAAGUUGACAAAUCACUGGAAUAUCUAUAUCCACACAGGAGUUAAAAAUGUACAAUAAUUCAGAAAAAGAAUGGAACAGAUCACAAAUAUUAUGGGACAAAGUUACAUAAGGUUUCACAACAGAGACAACAUUUUGGUUUUAAUGUAUUAAACUGGUAGUUCUGAACAAAGAUAACAGGAUGUUAAAAAAAAGUGUAGUAACAUCCUUAUGUAACUUUGUAGUUGCAUUUACAUUGUCAAAGAAAUAAAAGGUUUCAUUGGGCAA
Long non-coding RNA from Stegostoma tigrinum, 1099 nucleotides. RefSeq lists it as uncharacterized. The record is from RefSeq and is a predicted model, not a curated record. The transcript is spliced from 3 exons. Lineage: Eukaryota; Metazoa; Chordata; Chondrichthyes; Orectolobiformes; Stegostomatidae.